This 475-nucleotide unclassified non-coding RNA is filed under the name Hevea brasiliensis (rubber tree). The record is from RNAcentral. Lineage: Eukaryota; Viridiplantae; Streptophyta; Magnoliopsida; Malpighiales; Euphorbiaceae.
GGGGAGCCUUCUUCACUGAUUGAGAGAUGGAAAUCAGGUGGAUCAUGUGAUUGUGGUGGAUGGGAUUUGGGUUGCCAAAUAAGAUUACUUGUCAAUCAUAGAACGAUAUCCAGUUGUCUCAAACCCGAACGUAAUGCUGAAAGAUUUGAACUUUUAUUUCAGCAGGGGGGAGAGCAGGACAACACGCCAGUCUUCAGCUUGUCCCGGUUCAAGGAUGGGAUCUUUUCAGUUGAAUUCAGUUCGUCGCUAAAGCUUCUGCAGGCAUUCUCCAUUUGUAUAGCAGUUCUAAAUGGUAGAAAUCAAGAAAUCUUUUGAAGUGAAUCCAGAGGGAGCCCAGGUGGAGUUUUCUGCUAAAUUUGUAUCACUUUCCCCAAUAGGAAAAGUCUGAAAUUUCUACCGAACAUCAAACUAAGGCUCUAUAGUUCUUUUUAUUAAAACUAUAGCUAAGCUUGUAGAAUAUCAGUCCUCUAUUUUG